GAUGGGUAAGCUUAGACCUCAAGUUUUUUCUUCAUUUUUCAUCUGGGGUUUGGUUAUUCAUGGUGGAAUCACACUGACCCUACGCUCGUGUUGUUUGUUUGAUACGGGUUAGAUCUAGGUUAUCCAUAUUUUUUGCUAAUGUUAGUGGAUCUGAUCAAUGCCGUUUGUCUCCUCGGAUCUAGGGCUUGAAUUGGGUCGCAAACGCUCCUUUUCUUCCUUCCUUUCGUUCUUUCUUUCUUUCUUUUCUGAUGAAAUGCAAGAAUAGGAUAAUUCUCUGCGAUCCUCUCAUCCCCUUGUUGAGAAUUUGAGGAGGAAUCGGUGUUCUUGGGUGUCUUUUGAUGUUUACUAUCAAAUGAAUGUGCGGUUUGUUCAAAUGUAUGCUUGAUCUGGUUGGUUUCUUUUUCCUUUUUCAUAAUAAUAUUAUUUUAGUAACC
This is a long non-coding RNA of Vitis vinifera (wine grape), 434 nucleotides long. RefSeq lists it as uncharacterized. The transcript has 2 exons. Lineage: Eukaryota; Viridiplantae; Streptophyta; Magnoliopsida; Vitales; Vitaceae. The record is from RefSeq and is a predicted model, not a curated record.